UCCCUGAGGACGCAGGUUCGAUCGCUGGCCUCGCUCAGUGGGUUAAGGAUCCGCCGUUGCCGUGAGCUGAGGUGGAGGUUGCAGACGCGGCUCGGAUCCCUCAUUGCUGUGGCUGUGGUGUAGGCCGGCGGCUACAGCUCCAGUUGGACCCCUCACCUGGGACCCUCCGUAUGCCUUGGGUGCGGCCUUAAAAAGCAAAACAAAAAAAUGUGGCGUAUAUUAAGUAUAUCAAGGCCCUGCUGUGUUGUCAACCUUUUACGCUGAUCUGAUCUAAUCCUCAAAACAAGUCUAAGAGGGAAAAGCUUCUGUCACCCUGCUUCAUGGAGGAGGAAAUGAAGGAGGCCGGAGCCGAGACUUCUUGCUCUGUUCCCGGACGUGCUGCACUGGCUCCUCCCUCUGCCGCCUCCGUGCUGUCUAGACGUCACACAGGCUGUUCCCUCACCCUGGGUUCUUCCCUGUCCUCUUGGCCACCUGCUCGUUUUCUCCAGGUCUCAGCCUAAAUGUCACUUCCUUGGGAACAGUGACUUUCUGGAAGCCCCGGAAAGGCCUUCACAUGUUAUCUCGUGAUCCCACGUAGUUGACGGUGCCGUUAAGAAGAAACAUUUAUUCAUGUCUCUUGGCCGUUGUGGGAGCUCUGGGAGGAGGGCACGCAAAGCUUCACAUGUGCCAGCUCUCCAGGAUGGUGCGACGAGUAGACUGAGUAGCAGUAAAUACUUUUUACUCCCGUGAACCGGUUUUUUGGCGCUUUAACUUUACUCUGGCACGAGGACCAGCCCGAUAGCCGGGACGUCCGAGGUAACGUUCCCUCUUAGGAAGCAAGCAAGCAUGUCCACGUGAGGCCUGAGAGGAGGUCCGUUCGCCCAGCUGACGUGCUGAUCACAGAGCCCUGGCGAGGCGGGGGGACCGGGUGCCUCCCUGCCAGGUGCGCCAAGGCCUCUCCCCCUCAGUGGGAGGCGGGAGAGACUGGCCAGCGCCCGGAUGGUCCCAGGCAGUGACGGCGGGUCGGGACUGGCGUCCAUGAUCUGGUGGCUUCGGGAAGAGGCUUUGAGCGCUUUCUUUUGUGACUAUGACGUAAGUGUAACUUAACUCAGAUACUAAAAGGAGAGCCGUUGGGGGGGGGGGACGAAUUUGGGAACCAUUGGAUCAAAUCGUAGUCAUUGUUUUAAUCUUUUCAUUUGCUGCUUCUGUCCCUCUUGGAGCUGUUUCCUGUGUGUCUGAAUUUCUUUCAGGUCAUCGAAGUUUCUGGACUUUGUAGCACCUGGUUCAUUUUAUCUUAGGUUACACUUUGAUCAUUUGUCUCUCGUAAGUUGCUACCAAUAAACUGUUACCUUU
Molecule: long non-coding RNA, 1332 nt
Filed under: Sus scrofa (pig)
Lineage: Eukaryota; Metazoa; Chordata; Mammalia; Artiodactyla; Suidae
Description: lncRNA (ENSSSCG00015007891.1)
Source: RNAcentral